This 377-nucleotide ribosomal RNA is filed under the name uncultured eukaryote. RNAcentral's name for it is "partial 18S ribosomal RNA". It matches the Rfam family "Eukaryotic small subunit ribosomal RNA", at positions 592 to 976 of the family's 1831-position model. The record is from RNAcentral.
CAAUAGCGUAUAUUAAAGUUGUUGCAGUUAAAAAGCUCGUAGUUGGAUUUCGGGUGGGAAUGGCCGGUCCGCCGUUUCGGUGUGCACUUGCUACGCCCACCUUGCUGCCGGGGACGUGCUCUUGAGUUCACGCUCGGGACACGGAGUCGGCGAGGUUACUUUGAGUAAAUUAGAGUGUUCAAAGCAGGCCUACGCUCUGAAUACAUUAGCAUGGAAUAACACGAUAGGACUCUGGCCUAUCUUGUUGGUCUGUAGGACCGGAGUAAUGAUUAAGAGGGACAGUCGGGGGCAUUCGUAUUUCAUUGUCAGAGGUGAAAUUCUUGGAUCUAUGAAAGACGAACUACUGCGAAAGCAUUUGCCAAGGAUGUUUUCAUUAA